RNAcentral lists this ribosomal RNA (495 nucleotides) under uncultured bacterium. RNAcentral describes it as "bacterial SSU rRNA". It matches the Rfam family "Bacterial small subunit ribosomal RNA", at positions 28 to 532 of the family's 1533-position model. The record is from RNAcentral.
GACGAACGCUGGCGGCGUGCUUAACACAUGCAAGUCGAACGGACGAGUGAGAUAAGUUUACUUAACUCACAAGUUAGUGGCGGACGGGUGAGUAACACGUGGAUAAUCUACCUGCAACACCGGGAUAACGCUGUGAAAACGGUGCUAAUACCGGAUACGUUCCCUUGUGCGCAUGUAUGAGGGAAGAAAGCUCAGGCGGUUGCAGAUGAGUCCGCGGCUGAUUAGCUAGUUGGUGAGGUAAAGGCUCACCAAGGCGAUGAUCAGUAGCCGGCCUGAGAGGGUGAACGGCCACACUGGGACUGAGACACGGCCCAGACUCCUACGGGAGGCAGCAGUGGGGAAUCUUCCGCAAUGGGCGCAAGCCUGACGGAGCAACGCCGCGUGGGUGAAGAAGGCCUUGGGUGUAAAGCCUGUCUUAUGGAAGAAGUCAGUGACGGUACCAUAGGAGGAAGCCACGGCUAACUACGUGCCAGCAGCCGCGGUAAAAGUACUACU